RNAcentral lists this non-coding RNA (1113 nucleotides) under Plasmodium falciparum Tanzania (2000708). RNAcentral describes it as "Eukaryotic large subunit ribosomal RNA". It matches the Rfam family "Eukaryotic large subunit ribosomal RNA", at positions 871 to 1860 of the family's 3401-position model. The record is from Rfam by way of RNAcentral. Lineage: Eukaryota; Apicomplexa; Aconoidasida; Haemosporida; Plasmodiidae.
AGGAUCGAGUUGAUACUGACGUGCAAAUCGUUCAUUUCAAUCACGUUUAGGGGCGAAAGACUAAUCGAAAAGCCUAUUAGCUGGUUAUUUUCGAAAGAUCUCUCAGGAUCGCUGGAGUUGAUUAAUAUAAUUUUACCAGGUAGAGAUAAUGAUUAGAGGAAUCAGGGAAAUCGUUUUCCUUGACCUAUUCUCAAACUCCCAAUAGGUAAAAAGGGCGAAAUAACUCAACUUGUAUUUCACUCAUAUUAAAUAAAAUAACUCCAAGUGGGCCAUUUUUGGUAAGCAGAACUGGCGAUGAGGGAUGCUCCUAACGCUUGGAUAAGGUGCCUAAAUUAUUCGCUCAUGAGAUCCCAUAAAAGGUGUUGGUUCAUAAUGACAGUAGGACGGUGGUCAUGGAAGUCGAAAUCCGCUAAGGAGUGUGUAACAACUCACCUACCGAAUGAACUAGCCCUGAAAAUGGAUGGCGCUAAAGCGGAUUACCGAUACCAAGCCAUAAAAAGAACAGAAAAAAAAUUUAUUUUUUUUUUAGAAUCUUUUUAUGAGUAGAAAAUCGUGGGGUUUGUGUUGAAGCGAAAUACGUGAGUUUUCGUGGAACAUCUCCCUAGUGCAGAUCUUGGUGGAAGUAGCAACUAUUCAAAUGAGAACUUUGAAGACUGAAGUGGAGAAGGGUUUCUUGUCAACUGUGAUUGAACAAGAGUUAGCCGCUCCUAAGGGAUAGCUGAAAAGUGUUUAAAAGGGGUUUCUUCCCCGUCUCAAAAGGGAAACAGGUUGAUAUUCCUGUGCCAAUAGUAUUAUGAGUUUCUUAGAUGGUAACAUAUAUAUAAAUGAACUCCUUUACAUAGGCUUUACACUCGGGGUGCGUUUUCUUUGCACUUUACCUUUAUAACAAACCUUGGAAUCAAUUUACUUGGAGAAGAGGUUCGUUGAACUCAAUUCAAAAAAUUUCUUGAACGGGGUUUUCGGAUUCAGUUCAUUUUAUUUUUUGUUUUGUAGCAAUAGUAAUUCGUUUUUAUGAAUUAUCCGAAGUGGUAAGGACUAUCCUUGAAAAAAGGAGGGAACGGCUUUGUAAACUUGGUUUCUUCUGAUUCCAUUUUGCUUUGCUAUACUCUUAAU